RNAcentral lists this ribosomal RNA (436 nucleotides) under uncultured bacterium. RNAcentral's name for it is "bacterial SSU rRNA". It matches the Rfam family "Bacterial small subunit ribosomal RNA", at positions 958 to 1381 of the family's 1533-position model. The record is from RNAcentral.
AACGCGAAGAACCUUACCCAGGCUUGACAUGUAGUUGAAUGGCUGUGAAAGCAGUCAGGCCCGCAAGGGACAAUUACACAGGUGCUGCAUGGCUGUCGUCAGCUCGUGCUGUGAAGUGUUGGGUUAAGUCCCGCAACGAGCGCAACCUUUAUUCUUAGUUGGCAUCGCGUCAUGGCGGCCACUCUAGGGAGACUGCCGGUGAUAAACUGGAGGAAGGAGGAGACGACGUCAAGUCAGUAUGGCCCUUAUGCCUGGGGCUACACACGUGCUACAAUGGCCGCCACAAUGGGCAGCAAACCCGCGAGGGGGAGCAAAUCCCAAAAAAACGGCCCCAGUUCAGAUUGCAGGCUGCAACUCGCCUGCAUGAAGUCGGAAUCGCUAGUAACGGUAGAUCAGCUACGCUACCGUGAAUACGUUCCCGGGUCUGACCACCAAG